Molecule: long non-coding RNA, 3645 nt
Organism: Homo sapiens (human)
Lineage: Eukaryota; Metazoa; Chordata; Mammalia; Primates; Hominidae
Source: Ensembl
AAGGUGCUAUGGUUUGGAUAUUUGCCUCCCCAAACCUCAUGUUGAAAAUUGAUCCCAAUGUUGGAGGUGGAGCCUAACGGGAGGUGAUUGGGUCACGGAGGUGGAUCCGUCAUGAAAAGAUCAAUGCCCUACCUUGGGAGGGGGAUGAUUGCAUUCUCCUCUUCAAGAGCUGGUUAUUAAAAAGAGCCUGACUUCUCCCUGCCCUCUCUUGCUGCCUCUCUCUAUAUAUGAUUUCUGCACAGGCCAGCCCCCCUUCACUUUUUGUUGUGAAAGGAAGAAGCCUGAGACCCUCCCUAGAAACUGGGCAGCUGCUGGUGCCAUGCUUCUGUACAGCCUGCACAAUUGUGAUCCAAAUACACUUCUUUUCUUUAUAAACUACCCAGCCUCAGAUAUUCCUUUAUUCAAACAAACUGGACUGACAGAAAAUUGGUACAGUGAAGUAGAAUGCUGCUAAAAUGAUAACUAAGUAUGUGGAAGCAGCUUUGGAACUAAGUAAUGGCAACAGGUUGGAAGAGUUUGGAGGGCUCAGAAAAAGAUAAAAGGAUGAAAGAAAGUUUGGGCCUUCUUCAAGAUUGGUUAAGUGAUUGUGAACAAAAUGUUUAUAGAAAUAUAGACAAUAAAGGCCCUGCUGUCAGGUCUCAGCUGGAAAUGAGGAAAUUAUUGGGAACCUGAGCAAAGGUCACCCUUGUUACACCUUAGAAAAGAAUUGGCUGCAUUGUGUCCAUGCCCUAGGGCUUUGAGAAAGGUCAAAAUUAAGAGUGAUAAUCUAGAGGUAAAAAUUUCCAAGCAGAAAGCAUUCAAGAAGUGGCAUGGCUACUUGUAAUUGCUUACUCUGAAUCAUCUGAAUUAAUGGAGCAAAGGAAUGGCCUAAAGAUGGAAUUGAUAACUAAAAGGGAAGCAGUGCAUUCAAAUUUCAAAAAUUUGCAACCUGAUCAUGAGAUAGAAUAGGAAAGAGCAUUUUUAGAAGAAUAAUUCAAAGGUAAAGCUGAGAGACCCUUUGUUAAAGACAUUAGCACAGGUAAAAGGGAGCCAGGUACUAAUAAACAGGACGGUGAGGAAAUGGCCCCAAAGGCAUUUUAGAAAUCUUUGAAGCAGUCCCUCCUAUUAUAGCCCCAGAGGCCUAGGACAACAGAAUGACAGAAUGGUUUCAGGGGAGGGGGUGGGGGGACUGCUGCCCUGCAAGGUCUCAACUCUAUCUAUGACUGAAACAGCCCCAGAUACUGCUCAGACCUUGACCAUAGAGAGUGCAAACCAUAAGCUUUGGUAAUGUCCACAUAGUAUUAAGCCUGCAAGCACAAAGAAUGCAAGAAUGGUGAAGCUUGGUAGCUUCCAACUGGAUUUCAGAUGAUAUAUUGGAAAGCCUGGGAGCACAGACAGAAAACUGCCACAGAGGCAGAGCCACCACAGAGAGUCCCCACUGGGACAAUACCUAAUGGAGAGGUGAGAGCAAGACUGCCACGAAGACUCUAGAAUUAUAGAGCCACUGGCAGCAUGCAACCUUCUCCUGGAAAGGCUACAGGCAUUCAACUGCAACCCACAAGGGCAGCCACAUGGGCUGUACCUAGCAAAACCAUGAGUACAGAGCUGUCCAAAGCCUCAGGAGCUCACCCUCACAGCAGUGUGCCCAGGACAUAGGACAUGGAGGCAAGGAGAUUAUUUUGGAGCUUUAAGAUUUAAUGUCUAUGCUGCUGGGUUUUAGACUCAUGUGGGGCCUAUUACCCCUUUCUUUUGACCUAUGUUUCUUUUGACCUAUGUUUCUUUUGAAUGUUUACGCAAUGCCGGUAUCACCAUUGUAUCCUGGAAGUAAAUAACUUAUUAUUAUUAUUAUUAUUUUACAGUCUUGCAGCUGAAAGGAAUUUACCUUGAGUCUCAGAUGAUACUUUGAACUUUGAAUUUUUAAGUUUCUGCAGAAACAAGCUAAGACUGUUGGGACUAUCGGGAAGGAAUGUUUUGUAAUGCGAGAAGGACAUGCUUUUGGGGGGCCAAAUGUAGAAUGAUAUGGCUUGGAUGUUUGUCCACCAAAACCUCAUAUUAAAAUUUGAUCCCCCUGUUGUAGGUGCCCUCCCUCCAGGAGAGGGUGAGUCAGUUAUCCAUUAGUUUUCAUGAGAAUUGAUUUUUAAAAAGACCUGGCAUCUCCCCAUUCUCUCUCUUGCUUUCUCUCCCAUCACGUGAUCUUUCCACACACUGGCUCAACUUCGCCUUCUGCCAUGAAUGCAAGGAACUUGAGGCCCUCACUAGAAGCUGGACAGAUGCUGGGACCAUGCAUCUUGUACAGCCUGCACAACCAUGAGCCAAAUAAACAUCUUCCCUUUAUAAAUUUCCUAGCCUCAGGUAUUCCUUGACAGCAACAGAAAAUGAAUUAAUACACAAGGUAUUAAAGAUAGAAAGACAUCUAAGACACAAAGUUUGCUCAUAAAGAGUUUAUUGGAUAGUGGGAAAGACCAAAAUGCAACCCACAAAACCAAACAUGUAUAGUAUAAUAUGCUAAUACAUAUAUGUUCACAUAAAAAUGUAGAAGUCAUUAGCUAGGUGGCUAAUAACAUCAGGGAAUGCCAGAUAAAGUGGGUAAAAUGCAUAUUAAGAGAAAGAUUGAGAUGAAGUUUACCAUCCACAACACACAUACAGGCAGGCCCACCCAUAAGAGUGCUCACAACUUAGCUUUUACACAUGAUUCCAUAUACAUGGCUCUAUUCUAAGUAAAAUAUAGAAAUUAGAAGCAUCAUGGACAAUGACUACUUGGUUUAUUUCAUUUUGUACAUGUGACACUAAGUGCACAAGAAGUCCAGAGGUGACCAGAUCAAUGUGGCAAGGACAUGCAAACGAUCAAAAUCUAACAUUAGUAUAUGCACAUAAAUCUAGAGUAUAAGUUCUCUGAGAGAAGGAAUUGUUUUAUAUUUUGUCCAAAUAGAAGAAAUGUUAAAUUUUCAAUAGCAUGAAUUUCUAACAUCUAAAAUGGCGCCUAAUAUAAAAAGUGGUACUCGGUAAAUAUUUAUGGAAAAUAUGUAUACAUGAAUAAAUAUACCCGGUAGAAAAUAAAAGAAACAGAAGUAAAUAUCGCCAUCCAAAUAAUUUAAGGUCAAUAGUUUCAGUUUCUCUUUUGCAAAAUCUUUAACUUGCUUAACUUUCUUUCUUUUAGUUGUGUUCAAGAGUCGGAAUGCCAAACCUGAAGGAAUCCUAGCACCUACCUUAUCUGGUGAAAUUCUGAAUAUAAGAAGAAUGCCCACCCAGGAAAUGUAUAUAUCAGAUGGAAACUGAAGAUGAAAUAGAACACAGAUAACUGAAAAUACAGAACUCUUUCACUACAAAGUGCUAUAUCUUAUGAGUCCAUUCAAAUACUAAAGAUUUGCUAUUAGUUGAAUCAGCUAAAGGACUUUUCCAAAACUAUGAACCAUAUAAAAAUAUGUGCAGAACCAACUUUUCAAUACUUUACACUUUGUCAUUCUGCUCAUUCAACUUUAGCAGAACCUAAAAAUGCUUUAAACAUUCACCAUUGUUACUCCAUUAUCCUGUUGAUUUUGCCAGUGAUUUAGCACAUAAAAACAUUAGGACAUAUGCCAUGAGUAUUUCAUCCCAUAGCCAUCAAGUAAAAAUAUAGUUUCUAGAGACUAAAAUUUAUGGAUGACAAGUAGGUUCUACCUAUGAACU